This 144-nucleotide small nuclear RNA is filed under the name Prolemur simus (greater bamboo lemur). RNAcentral describes it as "U2 spliceosomal RNA (ENSPSMG00000016473.1)". The stretch from base 1 to 108 matches the Rfam family "U2 spliceosomal RNA". From Rfam's summary of the family: U2 is a small nuclear RNA (snRNA) component of the spliceosome (involved in pre-mRNA splicing). Complementary binding between U2 snRNA (in an area lying towards the 5' end but 3' to hairpin I) and the branchpoint sequence (BPS) of the intron results the bulging out of an unpaired adenosine, on the BPS, which initiates a nucleophilic attack at the intronic 5' splice site, thus starting the first of two transesterification reactions that mediate splicing. Lineage: Eukaryota; Metazoa; Chordata; Mammalia; Primates; Lemuridae. The record is from RNAcentral.
AUCUCUUCUCAGCCUUUUGGCUAAGAUCAAGUGUAGUAUCUGUUCUUAUGAAUUUAAAAUCUGUCAAGUAAUUCUAACAUCUCUGUCAUCUUGGUAUUGGCAAUUCAAACUGCUGUAACAAAAUGCCAAAAACUGGGUGGCUCA